GGAUGUAAAGGUAAUCUGGCUGCGACAUCUGUCACCCCAUUGAUCGCCAGGGUUGAUUUCGCUGAUCUGGCUUGCUAGGUGGUUGUUCCCCUCCUCCCUAACGUUCCAUGUGCAUCCCUCCUGAAGCUUCACACUUGGUGGAAGAGAAUGACCAACCCCGAUAGAGGAAGACCAUUCCUCAGUCAAGGGUAUAGGAGCAGCCACACUUCCCUGCUAGAACCUCCAAACAAGCUCUCAUAAUCACCAGGGAAAGGUACUCCCUCACACCAGGGCAGCUUUGGAGACAUUGUAUUAGUGACAUAUGCUCCUUC
Molecule: small nuclear RNA, 311 nt
Filed under: Chinchilla lanigera (long-tailed chinchilla)
Lineage: Eukaryota; Metazoa; Chordata; Mammalia; Rodentia; Chinchillidae
Description: 7SK RNA (ENSCLAG00000021873.1)
Rfam family: 7SK RNA
About the family: 7SK was discovered as an abundant small nuclear RNA in the mid-70s but a possible function has only recently been suggested.
Source: Rfam by way of RNAcentral